AUUACCUACGGGACGCAGCAGUGAGGAAUAUUGGUCAAUGGCCGGAAGGCUGAACCAGCCAAGUCGCGUGAGGGAAUAAGGCCCUAUGGGUCGUAAACCUCUUUUGUCAGGGAGCAAAGGCGUCCACGUGUGGACGAGAGGAGAGUACCUGAAGAAAAAGCAUCGGCUAACUCCGUGCCAGCAGCCGCGGUAAUACGUAGGGAGCGAGCGUUGUCCGGAUUUACUGGGUGUAAAGGGUGCGCAGGCGGCUCUGCAAGUCAGGCGUGAAAGCUAGGGGCUCAACCCCUAAAUUGCGCUUGAAACUG
Molecule: ribosomal RNA, 305 nt
Filed under: uncultured bacterium
Lineage: Bacteria
Description: bacterial SSU rRNA
Rfam family: Bacterial small subunit ribosomal RNA
Source: RNAcentral